Molecule: ribosomal RNA, 635 nt
Filed under: Streptomyces mirabilis
Lineage: Bacteria; Bacillati; Actinomycetota; Actinomycetes; Kitasatosporales; Streptomycetaceae
Description: bacterial SSU rRNA
Rfam family: Bacterial small subunit ribosomal RNA
Source: RNAcentral
UCUAAUACCGGAUAAUACCUGCCUGGGCAUCUGGGUGGGUUGAAAGCUCCGGCGGUGAAGGAUGAGCCCGCGGCCUAUCAGCUUGUUGGUGAGGUAGUGGCUCACCAAGGCGACAACGGGUAGCCGGCCUGAGAGGGCGACCGGCCACACUGGGACUGAGACACGGCCCAGACUCCUACGGGAGGCAGCAGUGGGGAAUAUUGCACAAUGGGCGAAAGCCUGAUGCAGCGACGCCGCGUGAGGGAUGACGGCCUUCGGGUUGUAAACCUCUUUCAGCAGGGAAGAAGCGAGAGUGACGGUACCUGCAGAAGAAGCGCCGGCUAACUACGUGCCAGCAGCCGCGGUAAUACGUAGGGCGCAAGCGUUGUCCGGAAUUAUUGGGCGUAAAGAGCUCGUAGGCGGCUUGUCACGUCGGGUGUGAAAGCCCGGGGCUUAACCCCGGGUCUGCAUUCGAUACGGGCUAGCUAGAGUGUGGUAGGGGAGAUCGGAAUUCCUGGUGUAGCGGUGAAAUGCGCAGAUAUCAGGAGGAACACCGGUGGCGAAGGCGGAUCUCUGGGCCAUUACUGACGCUGAGGAGCGAAAGCGUGGGGAGCGAACAGGAUUAGAUACCCUGGUAGUCCACGCCUUAGACGGUG